CUACUUACUAGGACCCUUAGGGGUCCAUAUGGAUAUUCCUCUACUCGUAGACACAGUAUCAAGUUUUGACAAUUAACCCGGUCGUCUCCAUAUCCCGUCCGGUAAUGGGCGCCAAAAACAACAUCGCCUCGAUACCUCGUCCUGUAUGAGGGUCAACCAUAUCUCCCAAAAUGCUUCCGGUAUAGGACUUCUCAGCCCCAUUCGACUGAGGUAAUAUCCACGGUAAAGUUUCCUAUGUACCAGGUAUGUCCACCCUUUCCCAGGAUGCCCAGUAAGCUUUCAUUUAUUUAGAUUCUCAUCAACCAAACAACUACCAAAUCAUACCAACGUCUCGUUUCAUAUUCACCGAUUAAUUAAACGGUAUUUAAGCAAACGAUAUAGUUUAACAUAACCGAAUAAUCAAGUAACUAGAUAACCAAUUAAAUAAUGCAGGAAAAAUCAAAUAAAC
This 448-nucleotide long non-coding RNA is filed under the name Carica papaya (papaya). RNAcentral's name for it is "long non-coding RNA (CPAP_LNC015543)". The record is from RNAcentral. Lineage: Eukaryota; Viridiplantae; Streptophyta; Magnoliopsida; Brassicales; Caricaceae.